Oryza sativa Japonica Group (Japanese rice) is the source of this 209-nucleotide microRNA precursor. It matches the Rfam family "MIR812 microRNA precursor family". Lineage: Eukaryota; Viridiplantae; Streptophyta; Magnoliopsida; Poales; Poaceae. The record is from Rfam.
UUUAAGAGUAGUUAUGGUUUCUGUGUCCAACGUGUUUGACUAUCUGUGAGUCUGUCUUCAAAUAUCUUAUGAUUAGUAUUUUUAUUGUUAUUAGAUGAUAAAACAUAAAUGGUACUUUGUACAUGACUUAUUUUUUUAAUCUUUUUAUGAAAUUUUCAAAUAAGCGGACAAUCAAACUUUAGAUACAGAAACCCACAACUACACUUAAA